Molecule: long non-coding RNA, 1941 nt
Organism: Vulpes vulpes (red fox)
Lineage: Eukaryota; Metazoa; Chordata; Mammalia; Carnivora; Canidae
Source: Ensembl
GUCGGGCCCUCGUCAGAGGGCUACAUGGGAAGAGUAGUAGAGUAAUAGACUAUUUGCUCAGCUCCUUUAACUGAACCCAUAGUAACAGUGACUUAAAUGAGAGGGUUAUUUCUGUCUCCUUAAAGUUAAGACUGGUAGGUGGUCCAGAGAGGAAAGACAGCUCUGCUCCAUGAGUCUUCUGGGGCUGUGGUUCCUUCUUUCUUGUUACUUCACUUUCCCCUGGGGUGUUGGUUUGGUCUCCCUAACUGUAGUUAGUACUCAUCCACCACAUCUUCAUAUCAGUGAGGUGGAAAGGGGAAAGAAAGAAGGAAGAGGAAUGGGAAGCAAGCCUCUCCCCUUCUAGGACAUGAUCAGAAAUUUCACACAUCACUCCUCAUAUCCUAUUGGCUGGAACUUGGUCAUAUAGGUAUCCCGAGCUGCAAGCAAGUCUUGGAAAUGGAAUCCCUAGCUGCAUGAUCAUCAGACCAGCUGAAACUUAUAGAUGUGGGGCUUUAUAACUAAUAGGAAUCAGGAUAGAAUGAAUAUUUGGGGACAGUUCAUAACUCUGCUACAGAGAGCCUACAGAGAAUGGCAAAUAUUUCUCUGCUGGAUGAGGUGGGGAUUCAGUGGAGGAAGUGGAACCAUUGUGACCCUAUGGAAUAAAGGACUGUGGGAGCUGAGGAAAAAGGUCUGAACUGGGCAGCUGGAGGAUCAAAGUUUCUAACCAAUGCUUCUAAGACUUCAGGUAGGCAAGGUAAGAACGAGACAUUCUGGAUCUUCAACACCUCUGCGUUUGUCCUUCACCUCAUCUAAACACAACUGACUCAAGACAGCAAUGGCUGUAGCUUUCCUUCUGUUUCUACAGCUCAGAUGAAUUUCUCUUUUGACCAAUUCCAAUAUGAAAUUGCAUAGAAAGGAAUUCUGGGAAAUGUAGUUCUAGGCCAGCCAUGGUGACAGUUACAAACUGCCACAUUCGUGUUUUUGAGAGCAUUGGAGACUGACUUGACAUUGAGAUGGAGCAGAUCUUGGGGUUGCAAGGCUGGAUCCAGCCAAAUCAAAGGACACCGUUGGUCUCUCAGUGGAAUAUGCUCUGGAUUUGCUUGUGUGCUUCCUUCUUUUGUACAUGGAGUGACUGUCCUUCCAGUCCCUUGAGAUUAGCCAAGACCAUGAAGUUUGAUUUGGCUAAUAAAGUGCGAGUAGAAUCAAUUUGCUGGACAGCUGGCUGGCUGCCUCUGGAAAUAUGUUACAGCCUCUGCAAUCGGUGAACUGGACAAGGAUCAGCAGAAGCGCUGUGUCCAGUGCAUUGCCAGGCCAGGAGAAACAAUAUUAUCUCCUUGUGAGAACAGUUUAUUCCUGUCGUGCUUUGAUUUAACCUUACAAGGAAAAAUGGCCAGUUAUGGAGUCAUUUUCCUGAAUAUUCCGUUUGAGCUGCCUGGCGUUCCUUAGUGCUAAAUAGGUAAUAGCCCACAUCUGGAGAAACCUGGUGAGGUCUCCCUGGACACCUUGGCUCUCUGGUUUCAAUCAAAGUGCCUUAUCGGUCUCUCACAAGUGCUCACAAAUGUAGAAAUGAAUUUGCAAAGAGCGAAUGGAAAUGCAGAGCUGAAAAGGAUCCUUUGAUCCAAGCCCCUCAUUAUACAGAUAAGGCAAGGGGAGCUCAGAGAAGGGGAGAGGCUUACCAAAGCCACGCAGCAGAUUAUGGCCAGGACUGCAAUCCAGGUCACUAAGUUAUGGAAGAUGUGCAACAGUGUUUGGUCUGACUCUCAUGAAGCAGACUACUUGUCUGCUCUAUACAUUUUAGCCUUCUAACUAAUCUCCUUGCCUCUGGCUCUCCCCUCACUAAUUAACAUGUACAUGCUGCAAGAUUUAUCUUCUUGGUUGAGCUACUAAUCACAUCUCUUUCUGCUCAAAACUGUUGAGGCUCCUAAAAAAAUAAAGCCCGAACCUCUUGGUAUUGGAGCUACA